UGGGGAAUUUUGGACAAUGGGGGAAACCCUGAUCCAGCCAUCCCGCGUGUGCGAUGAAGGCCUUCGGGUUGUAAAGCACUUUUGGCAGGAAAGAAACGUCAUGGGUUAAUACCCCGUGAAACUGACGGUACCUGCAGAAUAAGCACCGGCUAACUACGUGCCAGCAGCCGCGGUAAUACGUAGGGUGCAAGCGUUAAUCGGAAUUACUGGGCGUAAAGCGUGCGCAGGCGGUUCGGAAAGAAAGAUGUGAAAUCCCAGAGCUCAACUUUGGAACUGCAUUUUGAACUACCGUGCUAGAGUGUGUCAGAGGGAGGUGGAAUUCCGCGUGUAGCAGUGAAAUGCGUAGAUAUGCGGAGGAACGCCGAUGGCGAAGGCAGCCUCCUGGGAUAACACUGACGCUCAUGCACGAAAGCGUGGGGAGCAAACAGG
This 429-nucleotide ribosomal RNA is filed under the name Acidobacteriota bacterium. RNAcentral's name for it is "Acidobacteria bacterium partial 16S ribosomal RNA". It matches the Rfam family "Bacterial small subunit ribosomal RNA", at positions 355 to 776 of the family's 1533-position model. The record is from RNAcentral. Lineage: Bacteria; Pseudomonadati; Acidobacteriota.